Molecule: ribosomal RNA, 394 nt
Filed under: uncultured bacterium
Lineage: Bacteria
Description: bacterial SSU rRNA
Rfam family: Bacterial small subunit ribosomal RNA
Source: RNAcentral
GUGCCAGCAGCCGCGGUAAUACGUAGGGAGCAAGCGUUGUCCGGAUUUACUGGGUGUAAAGGGUGCGUAGGCGGUUCUGCAAGUCAGUUGUGAAAACUAUGGGCUUAACCCAUAGCCUGCAAUUGAAACUGUGGGACUUGAGUGAAGUAGAGGUAGGUGGAAUUCCCGGUGUAGCGGUGAAAUGCGUAGAGAUCGGGAGGAACACCAGUGGCGAAGGCGGCCUACUGGGCUUUAACUGACGCUGAAGCACGAAAGCAUGGGUAGCAAACAGGAUUAGAUACCCUGGUAGUCCAUGCCGUAAACGAUGAUUACUAGGUGUGGGGGGUCUGACCCCUUCCGUGCCGGAGUUAACACAAUAAGUAAUCCACCUGGGGAGUACGACCGCAAGGUUGAA